CGACCGGCGCACGGGUGAGUAACACGUAUGCAACCUGGCCGUCACAGGUGGAUAACCGGAAGAAAUUCCGACUAAUACAGCAUAACACUCCUGAGGGACAUCCUUCGGGAGUCAAAGGAGGCAACUCCGGUGACGGAUGGGCAUGCGGCGCAUUAGGUAGUUGGUAGGGUAACGGCCUACCAAACCGACGAUGCGUAGGGGUUCUGAGAGGAAGGUCCCCCACAUUGGAACUGAGACACGGUCCAAACUCCUACGGGAGGCAGCAG
RNAcentral lists this ribosomal RNA (266 nucleotides) under uncultured bacterium. Its description in RNAcentral is "partial 16S ribosomal RNA". It matches the Rfam family "Bacterial small subunit ribosomal RNA", at positions 92 to 354 of the family's 1533-position model. The record is from RNAcentral.